UAGUGGAAGGAGGAUCCAUCCAUGUAGUUGUCGGUGAGACAUGGUAGCUACCGAGCGGCGCGGUCGGGGCAACUGGCCGGGUCGAAGCCUCGGGAGAAAGUCCGCCUUUGGGCGGGCGAGCGACCCAGUAGGCCGUAACGCGA
RNAcentral lists this non-coding RNA (143 nucleotides) under Candidatus Sulfopaludibacter sp. SbA4. The record is from RNAcentral. Lineage: Bacteria; Pseudomonadati; Acidobacteriota; Terriglobia; Bryobacterales; Solibacteraceae.